Molecule: ribosomal RNA, 504 nt
Filed under: uncultured Lachnospiraceae bacterium
Lineage: Bacteria; Bacillati; Bacillota; Clostridia; Lachnospirales; Lachnospiraceae
Description: partial 16S ribosomal RNA
Source: RNAcentral
CACGUAGUUAGCCGGGGCUUCUUAAUCAGGUACCGUCUGGCGACCCAAAGGUCGCUAUUUCUUCCCUGCUGAUAGAGCUUUACAUACCGAAAUACUUCUUCACUCACGCGGCGUCGCUGCAUCAGGGUUUCCCCCAUUGUGCAAUAUUCCCCACUGCUGCCCCCCGUAGGAGUUUGGGCCGUGUCUCAGUCCCAAUGUGGCCGUUCACCCUCUCAGGCCGGCUACUGAUCGUCGCCUUGGUGAGCCAUUACCCCACCAACAAGCUAAUCAGACGCGGAACCAUCGUAUACCACCAGAGUUUUUCACACCACUUCAUGCGAAGCUGUGCGCUUAUGCGGUAUUAGCACCUAUUUCUAAGUGUUAUCCCCCAGUAUACGGCAGGUUUUCCACGCGUUACUCACCCGUCCGCCACUAACUCAUAAAUCACUAGGUUUCAAUAUGAGCCCGUUCGACUUGCAUGUGUUAAGCACGCCGCCAGCGUUCAUCCUGAGCCAGGAUCAAACU